Molecule: long non-coding RNA, 1962 nt
Organism: Ruditapes philippinarum (Manila clam)
Lineage: Eukaryota; Metazoa; Mollusca; Bivalvia; Venerida; Veneridae
Exons: 3
Source: RefSeq, a predicted model, not a curated record
UAUACAAUUUCGUAAUAAAUCUAUUUUCAUAUAUUUCUUUUUAAAUGAUAAGUUACAUAAUUGAAAUAUUAGACUUAUUUUACAAGGGGUCGCUUCCACACCGUAAAUAUACUGAUGGAAUACCAGAUUCCUGGGGAUAAGCAAACAGUGAAAAUUGGUACAUGGACACCCAGUUAUUUCAAAGAUGGUUUGCAGAUUUUUUUAUUCCCAACUGCGGCCGGGAUAAUCCUGUUGUCCUUUUAAUGGAUAAUUGUGACGCACAUAUCAGCGGUGGAGUGGUCAAAACAGCCAUUGCAAAUGAUGUAGUGUUGGUAGGACUUCCGGACACACCACAUAUCCUACAACCUCUUGACGUAAAAAAAAGGAAAGUGAUGAAGAAAUAAAGACUUGUGAUAAAUGUGGUCACUUUCUAUCAAAUCCUCUGGUAAAACGUGGAUUGAUACCAGCGAGUCUUGCAGACAUACUAUUGCCUCCACCAGUAAAUCCCGCCAAAGUUCAACGGAAAAAGAGGGUUGUAGCAGAAGGACGUUUGAUUAAUGGAGAAGACAUGCUUAAACAGCUAAAGGAGAAAGAAUAUCUUGAGAAGAAGAAAUUCGAGGACAUUGAGAGGAGAAAGAAAGAAAGGGAAAUGAAGAGGGAAAAGCAAUUGGAAAAAGAGGAAGAGAGGCACGCAAAAAAGAAAAAGAGAGUGGAGGAGACGGAACUUAACCUAAACGAGAAAAGGAGAAAAGCCGAGCAAAGAAAAGAAAAAAGGUGAGGUGUGUGGGUUGCAUGGCCUUGUAGACGAUGAGGUUAAUGGAAGGUUUUGGUUUGGGUGUGAUGAAGAGUUAUGCCAACGGUGGUAUCAUGAGGAGUGCUUGACAGAUUGUGAAAGGAUGUAUGUACGGGAGAGCUUAGAGGAAGGUGGAGAUAAAUGGUUCUGUAAGCGGUGUAAACCAUGGUUGUAUGAAGAGGAGUGAAAAACACUUAUUGAUAAAAGUUGUUGCACAUUUCUUACUAGCUUUGGUUUUAAUACAAAUUUGUUUGGCAAGCAAUGCAGUAAAUCUAUGUCAGUUAAAUGAUAAGCUAUAUUUGUAAUUAAAUUAAAUAUGGAUAUUACUAUAAAUUUAUGAUAAAUUAAUGAUUUUCAAAAUAAAGAUAAGCAUAGCUAUUCAUACAUAUUUUGCGUUAAUUUUUUACAUGCAUAAUCCUCUAAUAGUGAAACAUCUGUCUGUUAAGAUCACAGGCAGACACUCAAACGCUAAACGCUAUUUUCCCGUUUCAUUGGCUAAAAACCGUAAAACACAAUACAUUAUUCAUAUUUGGCACUUUACGUCAUUUUUUGGAUAUAAUGUAGUAAUUACUGAAGAUAUUUGACAAAUUGUUAUGAAUAAAAUUCUUUAGAUGUUAAAAAAAGUUUCAUCUGCUUUUGUGCUUUAUCCACAAUUUUAAACAUGCAACACGCUGGCUAUUUCUCAGUGGUUCAUACAUAUUCCCAGAGUUCAUUUUUCUACUCGCAAGAAAAAGUGCAUACAUUACUAGCUAAAGUUUGAGAAACAUAGAAUGUAGGUAAUUUACAAAGAAAAGUCAGUGAAUAUAGUUUAAUUAUCGUGUUAAAGAUAUGUCAGGAAACUGGUUCUGUAAUGGUGAGAAAUUGAUCCUUUUAAUGCCCUUCUUUAACCGUCCAUCUUUAACCAGGUAGUAUAAAUUACAUUUUGAGACGAGGCUAGAGCUCAAGCUUUGGUAUGGCGAAUUUUAUUAGCAUACGUAUAUUAUCAAGAAAUCAACGAACGAAAAACCUCAAUUUUUGUUCGGAAACUGGUUUUAAACCAGUAUAUCAUUAUCAUUUCAUAUAUUUAUAAAUGAUAAAUUUUAACACAUGAUGUAAUGCUUGUGACAGAAUAGGGUUUUAGAUAAGUAAUAUCUUACUUAUUUUGUAUAAUCUCUACUUAAAAACUUUGGGGAGAAAUAAAACAAAAUGUA